This 309-nucleotide long non-coding RNA is filed under the name Prunus persica (peach). RNAcentral's name for it is "long non-coding RNA (PPER_LNC003935)". The record is from RNAcentral. Lineage: Eukaryota; Viridiplantae; Streptophyta; Magnoliopsida; Rosales; Rosaceae.
UAGGAAUUUACAUGAGGGUUUUACAAGGAAUUAGAUAUAAUAAAGAAUUAAGAAAAUAUCUCCUAAUUGUACAAUGAUUUAUCACUUAUAUAAAAAUAGGAAAGUAAAUUCCUUAAUUAAUCAAGGAAGUAAAUCUCCUUGAUUAAUUAGGAGACUCAUGUCAACACUCCUCCUUAAGUUGGUGCAUAUAUGUCACCAAUACCCAACUUGGUAAGUGAGUCAUGAAAUACUCUUCCACAAACAUCUUUGGUUAAGAUAUCUGCCAGUUGAUCUUCUGAUUUUACGAAUGGUAGGCGUAUGAUGUUUUUC